Molecule: ribosomal RNA, 200 nt
Filed under: uncultured bacterium
Lineage: Bacteria
Description: partial 16S ribosomal RNA
Rfam family: Bacterial small subunit ribosomal RNA
Source: RNAcentral
ACGCUCGACACCUACGUGAGGCAGCAGUGGGGAAUAUUGGGCAAUGGGCGCAAGCCUGACCCAGCAACGCCGCGUGAAGGAAGAAGGCUUUCGGGUUGUAAACUUCUUUUCUCAGGGACGAAGGAAGUGACGGUACCUGAGGAACAAGCCACGGCUAACUACGUGCUAGCAGCCGCGUAAUCUGAGCGGGCUGGCAAGGC